Molecule: ribosomal RNA, 891 nt
Filed under: uncultured bacterium
Lineage: Bacteria
Description: bacterial SSU rRNA
Rfam family: Bacterial small subunit ribosomal RNA
Source: RNAcentral
AACCGCUGCUGGUGUGCCUAACACAUGCAGUCGUACGAGAAAUCCUGGGCAACUGGGAAAGUAAAGUGGCGCACGGGUGAGUAACGCGUGGGUAACCUACCCUUGGAUUUGGGAUAACUCCGCGAAAGCGGGGUUAAUACCGUAAUAAUAUUUCGAUCUCUAAGGGGAUCGGAAUCAAAGGUGGCCUCUGCAUGCAAGCUACUGUCUAAGGAUGGGCCCGCGUACCAUUAGCUUGUUGGUAGGGUAACGGCCUACCAAGGCAACGAUGGUUAGCUGGUCUUAGAGGAUGGCCAGCCACACUGGAACUGAGACACGGUCCAGACUCCUACGGGAGGCAGCAGUGGGGUAUCUUGCGCAAUGGGGGAAACCUUGACGCAGCAACGCCGCGUGGGUGAUGAAGGCCUUCGGGUCGUAAAGCCCUGUCAGGUGGGAAGAAACAUGUCGGUGUUAAUAUCACCGAUGUUUGACGGUACCGCCGGAGGAAGCACCGGCUAACUCCGUGCCAGCAGCCGCGGUAAUACGGAGGGUGCAAGCGUUGUUCGGAAUUACUGGGCGUAAAGCGCGUGUAGGCGGUCGGGCAAGUCAGAUGUGAAAGCCUUCCGCUUAACGGAAGAAGUGCAUUUGAAACUACCCGGCUGGAGUACGGGAGAGGAGAGUGGAAUUCCCGGUGUAGAGGUGAAAUUCGUAGAUAUCGGGAGGAACACCAGUGGCGAAGGCGGCUCUCUGGUCCGAUACUGACGCUGAGACGCGAAAGCGUGGGGAGCAAACAGGAUUAGAUACCCUGGUAGUCCACGCCGUAACGAUGGGCACUAGGUGUAGGAGGUAUUGACCCCUUCUGUGCCGAAGUUAACGCAUUAAGUGCCCCGCCUGGGGAGUACGGCCGCAAGGUUA